RNAcentral lists this ribosomal RNA (2902 nucleotides) under Klebsiella pneumoniae. RNAcentral describes it as "23S ribosomal RNA". It matches the Rfam family "Bacterial large subunit ribosomal RNA". The record is from RNAcentral. Lineage: Bacteria; Pseudomonadati; Pseudomonadota; Gammaproteobacteria; Enterobacterales; Enterobacteriaceae.
GGUUAAGCGACUAAGCGUACACGGUGGAUGCCCUGGCAGUCAGAGGCGAUGAAGGACGUGCUAAUCUGCGAAAAGCGUCGGUAAGGUGAUAUGAACCGUUAUAACCGGCGAUGUCCGAAUGGGGAAACCCAGUGUGAUUCGUCACACUAUCGUUAACUGAAUACAUAGGUUAACGAGGCGAACCGGGGGAACUGAAACAUCUAAGUACCCCGAGGAAAAGAAAUCAACCGAGAUUCCCCCAGUAGCGGCGAGCGAACGGGGAGCAGCCCAGAGUCUGAAUCAGCUUGUGUGUUAGUGGAACGGUCUGGAAAGUCCGACGGUACAGGGUGAUAGUCCCGUACACCAAAAUGCACAGGUUGUGAACUCGAAGAGUAGGGCGGGACACGUGGUAUCCUGUCUGAAUAUGGGGGGACCAUCCUCCAAGGCUAAAUACUCCUGACUGACCGAUAGUGAACCAGUACCGUGAGGGAAAGGCGAAAAGAACCCCGGCGAGGGGAGUGAAAAAGAACCUGAAACCGUGUACGUACAAGCAGUGGGAGCACCUUCGGGUGUGACUGCGUACCUUUUGUAUAAUGGGUCAGCGACUUAUAUUCUGUAGCAAGGUUAACCGUAUAGGGGAGCCGCAGGGAAACCGAGUCUUAACUGGGCGUUAAGUUGCAGGGUAUAGACCCGAAACCCGGUGAUCUAGCCAUGGGCAGGUUGAAGGUUGGGUAACACUAACUGGAGGACCGAACCGACUAAUGUUGAAAAAUUAGCGGAUGACUUGUGGCUGGGGGUGAAAGGCCAAUCAAACCGGGAGAUAGCUGGUUCUCCCCGAAAGCUAUUUAGGUAGCGCCUCGUGAAUUCAUCUUCGGGGGUAGAGCACUGUUUCGGCUAGGGGGUCAUCCCGACUUACCAACCCGAUGCAAACUACGAAUACCGAAGAAUGUUAUCACGGGAGACACACGGCGGGUGCUAACGUCCGUCGUGAAGAGGGAAACAACCCAGACCGCCAGCUAAGGUCCCAAAGUCAUGGUUAAGUGGGAAACGAUGUGGGAAGGCACAGACAGCCAGGAUGUUGGCUUAGAAGCAGCCAUCAUUUAAAGAAAGCGUAAUAGCUCACUGGUCGAGUCGGCCUGCGCGGAAGAUGUAACGGGGCUAAACCAUGCACCGAAGCUGCGGCAGCGACACUAUGUGUUGUUGGGUAGGGGAGCGUUCUGUAAGCCUGCGAAGGUGACCUGUGAGGGUUGCUGGAGGUAUCAGAAGUGCGAAUGCUGACAUAAGUAACGAUAAAGCGGGUGAAAAGCCCGCUCGCCGGAAGACCAAGGGUUCCUGUCCAACGUUAAUCGGGGCAGGGUGAGUCGACCCCUAAGGCGAGGCCGAAAGGCGUAGUCGAUGGGAAACAGGUUAAUAUUCCUGUACUUGGUGUUACUGCGAAGGGGGGACGGAGAAGGCUAUGUUAGCCGGGCGACGGUUGUCCCGGUUUAAGCAUGUAGGCUGGUUGUCCAGGCAAAUCCGGAUAAUCAAGGCUGAGGUGUGAUGACGAGGCACUACGGUGCUGAAGUAACAAAUGCCCUGCUUCCAGGAAAAGCCUCUAAGCAUCAGGUAACAUUAAAUCGUACCCCAAACCGACACAGGUGGUCAGGUAGAGAAUACCAAGGCGCUUGAGAGAACUCGGGUGAAGGAACUAGGCAAAAUGGUGCCGUAACUUCGGGAGAAGGCACGCUGGUGUGUAGGUGAAGUCCCUGCGGAUGGAGCUGAGACCAGUCGAAGAUACCAGCUGGCUGCAACUGUUUAUUAAAAACACAGCACUGUGCAAACACGAAAGUGGACGUAUACGGUGUGACGCCUGCCCGGUGCCGGAAGGUUAAUUGAUGGGGUUAUCCGUAAGGAGAAGCUCUUGAUCGAAGCCCCGGUAAACGGCGGCCGUAACUAUAACGGUCCUAAGGUAGCGAAAUUCCUUGUCGGGUAAGUUCCGACCUGCACGAAUGGCGUAAUGAUGGCCAGGCUGUCUCCACCCGAGACUCAGUGAAAUUGAACUCGCUGUGAAGAUGCAGUGUACCCGCGGCAAGACGGAAAGACCCCGUGAACCUUUACUAUAGCUUGACACUGAACAUUGAGCCUUGAUGUGUAGGAUAGGUGGGAGGCUUUGAAGCGUGGACGCCAGUCUGCGUGGAGCCAACCUUGAAAUACCACCCUUUAAUGUUUGAUGUUCUAACGUUGGCCCCUUACCGGGGUUGCGGACAGUGUCUGGUGGGUAGUUUGACUGGGGCGGUCUCCUCCCAAAGCGUAACGGAGGAGCACGAAGGUUAGCUAAUCCUGGUCGGACAUCAGGAGGUUAGUGCAAUGGCAUAAGCUAGCUUGACUGCGAGCGUGACGGCGCGAGCAGGUGCGAAAGCAGGUCAUAGUGAUCCGGUGGUUCUGAAUGGAAGGGCCAUCGCUCAACGGAUAAAAGGUACUCCGGGGAUAACAGGCUGAUACCGCCCAAGAGUUCAUAUCGACGGCGGUGUUUGGCACCUCGAUGUCGGCUCAUCACAUCCUGGGGCUGAAGUAGGUCCCAAGGGUAUGGCUGUUCGCCAUUUAAAGUGGUACGCGAGCUGGGUUUAGAACGUCGUGAGACAGUUCGGUCCCUAUCUGCCGUGGGCGCUGGAGAAUUGAGGGGGGCUGCUCCUAGUACGAGAGGACCGGAGUGGACGCAUCACUGGUGUUCGGGUUGUCAUGCCAAUGGCACUGCCCGGUAGCUAAAUGCGGAAGAGAUAAGUGCUGAAAGCAUCUAAGCACGAAACUUGCCCCGAGAUGAGUUCUCCCUGAGACUUUAAGUCUCCUGAAGGAACGUUAAAGACGAUGACGUUGAUAGGCCGGGUGUGUAAGCGCAGCGAUGCGUUGAGCUAACCGGUACUAAUGAACCGUGAGGCUUAACCUU